UAGGCGUUGUCUGAGGCUAAC
Molecule: microRNA, 21 nt
Filed under: Solanum lycopersicum (tomato)
Lineage: Eukaryota; Viridiplantae; Streptophyta; Magnoliopsida; Solanales; Solanaceae
Source: RNAcentral